CCCAUUACUGUCCCAUAAUAGUCAUAUAUAUUACCUUCCAAGUUCUAUUGGAAACGUGAUAUGGACUUGAAGGGUAAUUUGUCAGCAAGCACUGUCGAAAGCUAAAUUUUUAUGUGUUCCUAAGUAUACACAAACCUAAAAUUCUCCAUCAGAAUUAGACUAAAUCCAUCAUCAUACCAAUUAGUGUCUAGUGAUGUAUUAAAGUCUCCUUAUUCAGAGGCUCAUCAUAUCUUUAAAAUAAGUGCAGGAUUGAAUGCAACACAUGACAAAUCAUUAUUUAAUUACAGGAGAAAAAUGCAAUAUUGCAAAAGCUGAUGGAUUUAACACUAGAAAGCAAAUUGCAGGAAGAACUAACAACCACUUUGGAACAUUUAGG
This is a non-coding RNA of Pelobates cultripes (western spadefoot toad), 376 nucleotides long. The record is from the annotation of a GenBank genome assembly. NCBI's taxonomy places the organism in Eukaryota, Metazoa, Chordata, Amphibia, Anura, Pelobatidae.